GUAGAUAUAGUUUAACAAAAACCCUAGAUUGUGAAUCUAGAGAUAGAAAGCCAAACAUUCUUAUCUACC
This 69-nucleotide transfer RNA is filed under the name Babyrousa babyrussa (babirusa). Its description in RNAcentral is "tRNA-His". It matches the Rfam family "tRNA". From Rfam's summary of the family: Transfer RNA (tRNA) molecules are approximately 80 nucleotides in length. The record is from RNAcentral. Lineage: Eukaryota; Metazoa; Chordata; Mammalia; Artiodactyla; Suidae.